UACCAGCUCUUCGAGUGGUGUGGAUGUUUAUUGGGCCUAAAGCAUCCGUAGCUGGCUGGGCAAGUCCCCUGUUAAAUCCACCGAUUUAAUCGUUGGAGUGCGGGGGAUACUGUUCGGCUAGGGGACGGGAGAGGCAGACGGUAUUUUCGGGGUAGGGGUGAAAUCCUAUAAUCCCGGGAAGACCACCAGUGGCGAAGGCUGUCUGCUAGAACGCGCCCGACGGUGAGGGAUGAAAGCUGGGGGAGCGAACCGGAUUAGAUACCCGGGUAGUCCCAGCUGUAAACGAUGCAGGCUAGGUGUUUGGGCGGCCACGUGCCGCUCUAGUGCCGCAGGGAAGCCGUUAAGCCUGCCGCCUGGGGAGUACGGCCGCAAGGCUAGAAACUUAAAGGAAUUGGCGGGGGAGCACCACAAGGGUGAAGCUUGCGGUUU
RNAcentral lists this ribosomal RNA (429 nucleotides) under uncultured archaeon. Its description in RNAcentral is "bacterial SSU rRNA". It matches the Rfam family "Archaeal small subunit ribosomal RNA", at positions 474 to 903 of the family's 1478-position model. The record is from RNAcentral.